UUUUUUUCCUUCAGAAAAUAUUUUGCGAUCCCCUUGGUCAGAAAGAUACUUCUGCAGAAUGCAAUUCUGGGCUAAUUGGAAUGGUAAGAGAUGAAUCAUAUACUAAUACUCAAAGAUAUGUUUCUAAGAUUCUUAUGUUGCAUUACUUAGGUCUAUAUUUUGUUUCUAUUCUAUUCUUAAAUCUUAAUUAUUUGAUGUUUCAGAAUUUUUUUUAUGUUUACAUGUUUGAUAUGGUACAUGAUGAAACCAACUUCAUGAUGAUGUAUUCAUAUUCUUGUUAAAGGAGGAAUCAUGAAAAUAAUUAAUUUGAAUUGAAUAUAAAAUUAAGUCUGAAUUAGAAUGUUAUAUUCGUCUAAAUGUAUCCAUUUACAUUGUAUUUUCUUUCUUAUGUCACAGAAUUAAAAAUUGAAUCGCGUCAUAACAUCCAUGAAAUUUUCUUUUCCAUCCUAAAUUUUCUCUAACAAUUAUCAUAAAACUAUUUUCUUGGUGAUGAAGGAACUUGAAACUGCAUUUUCUUCUCAAUCACAGCCGGCUUUUCCAAAUCCUCCUCAUGAUUCACUUCCAGAUUUUGACGCUGCUUUACCAUCUCCAACUUUAGAAGAGAUCCUAGGAUACAACGGGACACAAAAUGCACUUGUGGAAAUGGAAGCAAGCACUUAUCAGCAGGAGAAAGUGAUAAGCUGCAGUGCGAAUACUGGAAACACUUAUCAGCAAGCUGGAA
This 721-nucleotide long non-coding RNA is filed under the name Carica papaya (papaya). RNAcentral's name for it is "long non-coding RNA (CPAP_LNC014645)". Lineage: Eukaryota; Viridiplantae; Streptophyta; Magnoliopsida; Brassicales; Caricaceae. The record is from RNAcentral.